Molecule: ribosomal RNA, 253 nt
Filed under: uncultured bacterium
Lineage: Bacteria
Description: partial 16S ribosomal RNA
Rfam family: Bacterial small subunit ribosomal RNA
Source: RNAcentral
UACGUAGGGGGCAAGCGUUGUCCGGAUUUAUUGGGUUUAAAGGGUGCGUAGGCGGCCUUGUAAGUCAGUGGUGAAAUACUCCAGCUUAACUGGAGGGGUGCCAUUGAUACUGCAGGGCUUGAGUUCAGAUGAGGUAGGCGGAAUUGACGGUGUAGCGGUGAAAUGCUUAGAUAUCGUCAAGAACACCGAUAGCGAAGGCAGCUUACUGGGCUGUAACUGACGCUGAGGCACGAAAGUGUGGGGAUCAAACAGG